Molecule: transfer RNA, 84 nt
Filed under: Candidatus Kaiserbacteria bacterium
Lineage: Bacteria; Candidatus Kaiseribacteriota
Description: tRNA-Leu
Rfam family: tRNA
About the family: Transfer RNA (tRNA) molecules are approximately 80 nucleotides in length. Their secondary structure includes four short double-helical elements and three loops (D, anti-codon, and T loops).
Source: RNAcentral
GCUCAGGUGGCGGAAUUGGUAGACGCGCUACCUUGAGGGGGUAGUGCCUGUAUGGGCGUGCUGGUUCAACUCCAGUCCUGAGCA